RNAcentral lists this ribosomal RNA (507 nucleotides) under uncultured bacterium. Its description in RNAcentral is "partial 16S ribosomal RNA". It matches the Rfam family "Bacterial small subunit ribosomal RNA", at positions 28 to 507 of the family's 1533-position model. The record is from RNAcentral.
GGCGAACGCUGGCGGCGUGCCUAAUACAUGCAAGUCGAACGCAUUUUCUUUCACCGUAGCUUGCUACACCGAAAGAAAAUGAGUGGCGAACGGGUGAGUAACACGUGGGUAACCUGCCCAUCAGCGGGGGAUAACACUUGGAAACAGGUGCUAAUACCGCAUAAUUCCAUUUACCGCAUGGUAGAUGGGUGAAAGGCGCUUUUGCGUCACUGAUGGAUGGACCCGCGGUGCAUUAGCUAGUUGGUGGGGUAACGGCCUACCAAGGCUGCGAUGCAUAGCCGACCUGAGAGGGUGAUCGGCCACACUGGGACUGAGACACGGCCCAGACUCCUACGGGAGGCAGCAGUAGGGAAUCUUCGGCAAUGGACGCAAGUCUGACCGAGCAACGCCGCGUGAGUGAAGAAGGUUUUCGGAUCGUAAAACUCUGUUGUUAGAGAAGAACAAGGAUGAGAGUGGAAAGUUCAUCCCUUGACGGUAUCUAACCAGAAAGCCACGGCUAACUACGUG